Molecule: long non-coding RNA, 622 nt
Organism: Hordeum vulgare subsp. vulgare (domesticated barley)
Lineage: Eukaryota; Viridiplantae; Streptophyta; Magnoliopsida; Poales; Poaceae
Exons: 2
Source: RefSeq, a predicted model, not a curated record
AUACAUGUAGUGGCACCUGGACACGUACCAGCAUUGGAAGGCUUUGUCGUGUUUAACACCAACACCUCUCCGACGACGACGACCCGGACGCCCCGUCCCCGUGAAGCAGCCAGCGGCGGGGAGGUGGACAAGGCGCUGGACUACAUGUACCGCGCAAACAGGAUGGCGAGCCUCGCCGUGAAGGUGAAGCACAUCGACGUGGGCGUCUCCGUCCUCUCCCGCUUCAUGGAGCCCAAGAAGGAAGCUGGCCAGCCUCGCCGAGUUCUGCGCCGACUACGCCUACAUCUCCGAGGAGGGAUUCUAUCUGGCAUCCGAUUGAUCGAUGGACGCUGUGCUGAUCCAAGCCAUGCCCAUGCAUGAUCUCCUUAUCAUCAGUCUUUUAAUCUACCAUCCAUCCCAUCCAGGCCUGUGGUUUCGUCAGGAUUUAUGUGCUGCCUGCAAUGCUCUUGUAUUCGUAUUCAGUUUGGUCAGACUUUGGUUCCUGGACGGCCAGCAUGCCUAUCUAAUCUGUCUCAGCUUCAUCAGUUAGCUAGGGGAAACCAAUGUAGUAUUGUAAUGUUGAUCUUCAUCUUAUCUUAUCUUUGGGACUUCACUUGAUCGAAUCGAAUUGCAGGAGCUAUCU